RNAcentral lists this ribosomal RNA (478 nucleotides) under uncultured bacterium. RNAcentral describes it as "partial 16S ribosomal RNA". It matches the Rfam family "Bacterial small subunit ribosomal RNA", at positions 28 to 507 of the family's 1533-position model. The record is from RNAcentral.
GAUGAACGCUGGCGGCGUGCUUAACACAUGCAAGUCGAACGAGAAGUGAAGACGGAAACCUUCGGGCGGAAGGCUUUAUUUCGAGUGGCGGACGGGUGAGUAACGCGUGGGUAACCUGCCUCAUACAGGGGGAUAACAGUUGGAAACGACUGUUAAUACCGCAUAAGACCACAGCACCGCAUGGUGCGGGGGUAAAAACUCCGCUGGUAUGAGAUGGACCCGCGUUCGAUUAGCCGGUUGGCGGGGUCACGGCCCACCAGAGCGACGAUGGAUAGCCGAUGGGGGAGGAGGACCGGCCACAUUGGGACUGAGACACGGCCUAAACUCCUACGGGAGGGAGCAGUGGGGAAUAUUGCACAAUGGGGGAAACCGUGAUGCAGCGACGCCGCGUGAGUGAAGAAGUAUUUCGGUAUGUAAAGCUCUAUCAGCAGGGAAGAAAAUGACGGUACCUGAGUAAGAAGCCCCGGCUAACUACGUG